Molecule: ribosomal RNA, 428 nt
Filed under: Streptomyces finlayi
Lineage: Bacteria; Bacillati; Actinomycetota; Actinomycetes; Kitasatosporales; Streptomycetaceae
Description: bacterial SSU rRNA
Rfam family: Bacterial small subunit ribosomal RNA
Source: RNAcentral
AGUUUGNUCNUGGCUCAGGACGAACGCUGGCGGCGUGCUUAACACAUGCAAGUCGAACGAUGAAGCCCUUCGGGGUGGAUUAGUGGCGAACGGGUGAGUAACACGUGGGCAAUCUGCCCUUCACUCUGGGACAAGCCCUGGAAACGGGGUCUAAUACCGGAUAACACUCUGUCCUGCAUGGGACGGGGUUAAAAGCUCCGGCGGUGAAGGAUGAGCCCGCGGCCUAUCAGCUUGUUGGUGGGGUAAUGGCCUACCAAGGCGACGACGGGUAGCCGGCCUGAGAGGGCGACCGGCCACACUGGGACUGAGACACGGCCCAGACUCCUACGGGAGGCAGCAGUGGGGAAUAUUGCACAAUGGGCGAAAGCCUGAUGCAGCGACGCCGCGUGAGGGAUGACGGCCUUCGGGUUGUAAACCUCUUUCAGCAG